This 262-nucleotide long non-coding RNA is filed under the name Lathyrus oleraceus (garden pea). Its description in RNAcentral is "Pisum sativum (pea) long non-coding RNA (PSAT_LNC038404)". Lineage: Eukaryota; Viridiplantae; Streptophyta; Magnoliopsida; Fabales; Fabaceae. The record is from RNAcentral.
UUUACAGAAUCUGGUGGGAUCACAGAUUUAUAAAAAAAAACAAUGAUAUAAACCAUUUCCAAGCUCUAGCAAACAAGGAUGGCGUAAGAGAUUAUAACCAGCAAAUAAAGCAACAGAUUGAUACAUGAAUAAUUUAAAAACACAUUUUUACAGAUUUGUUCCGGGAAUCACAAAAGCUUAAGCAUUUUCAGGCGACUUUCAUGUUCUGGGUCUAACUUGGGUGGGACGUAACAGCCCUGUAGAUCUUCUACUACGUAUUCCU